GACGAACGCUGGCGGCGUGCCUAAUACAUGCAAGUAGAACGCUGAAGGAGGAGCUUGCUUCUCUGGAUGAGUUGCGAACGGGUGAGUAACGCGUAGGUAACCUGCCUGGUAGCGGGGGAUAACUAUUGGAAACGAUAGCUAAUACCGCAUAAUAGUAGAUGUUGCAUGACAUUUGCUUAAAAGGUGCAAUUGCAUCACUACCAGAUGGACCUGCGUUGUAUUAGCUAGUUGGUGGGGUAACGGCUCACCAAGGCGACGAUACAUAGCCGACCUGAGAGGGUGAUCGGCCACACUGGGACUGAGACACGGCCCAGACUCCUACGGGAGGCAGCAGUAGGGAAUCUUCGGCAAUGGACGGAAGUCUGACCGAGCAACGCCGCGUGAGUGAAGAAGGUUUUCGGAUCGUAAAGCUCUGUUGUAAGAGAAGAACGAGUGUGAGAGUGGAAAGUUCGCACUGUGACGGUAUCUUACCAGAAAGGGACGGCUAACUACGUG
This 495-nucleotide ribosomal RNA is filed under the name uncultured bacterium. Its description in RNAcentral is "partial 16S ribosomal RNA". It matches the Rfam family "Bacterial small subunit ribosomal RNA", at positions 28 to 507 of the family's 1533-position model. The record is from RNAcentral.